This 658-nucleotide small RNA is filed under the name Histoplasma ohiense. RNAcentral's name for it is "hypothetical lncRNA". The record is from RNAcentral. Lineage: Eukaryota; Fungi; Ascomycota; Eurotiomycetes; Onygenales; Ajellomycetaceae.
ACUUGCUAUUGUCCCUCCGCUCCGCUCUAAGGGCCUCGAGGCGAUCAGGAAUCUAUCUCUCCCACCUGCAGUAUCCCAUAUACAAUCGGGUUCUUCUUCCUGGGUGUUCUUCAGCAGCGACCCAGCGAGGCAAGCUCACCAGAUCCACCGAACGUGGCCAUGCCUAGCCUUCUCUAAGCGGCUAAAGAACGCGUCAAAUGGCUUUUUACAGAGACGACGGUAGCUAUGGUGAGUCGCUUCUUUUCUGCCGGUAUUCUCUCAAUCCACUCUGCCCUCCACAGAAAAAAAAAAUUAAAUAAAUAAAAAAAAAAUAAAUAAAUAAAUAAAAAAUAAAAGAAACCCGACUCUCACCCCCCAGUGCCCCCACUCGGCUUGGGCUGAGUGGGGUUGUCAAAAAGUAGUACUUUGUGAUCAAAGCCAGCCGAUCAACCACCAUGAGAAAAAUCCCCCCGCUCACCUGAUCUUGCCUUUCCCCAUAACUAUCUCCAUGCAAGCCUGAGGUUAAAAAAUAAUGGUUUGAUGACGGGGGGACGUCGGGCUAGUUAUUCUAAAUUGAAAAUUAACUGGAACUAUUUUGGUCUGUAGAUUUUUUUUUCCUUGGUAAUUCCCCCCUUCCCUAACUACCCAAGAGUAGCCACAUGUUCGUAAAGAAGUAGUU